CCAGUCAGUGGGGCUACCAGCUGAGUUUAAAUAAUAUAAAUCGGGAGGAAGAAACUUACAAGGAUUCCCUUAGUAGCAAUGAGAGCAGGAUCAGCCAGCGAGAAUCGGGCGUCGCGUCGUCUGAAUAUAGUCUGGAAGCGUCCUCAGCGGACCCGGACCCAGAAAGUCCCACGGAAGAGCGCCGGGGAGGUGAAACCCGAUCCGGGUUGUUGGGGAAUACAGCCCGGAGUCGGGUUGUAAAUUCCGUCAAAAAAGGCUAAAUAUUCCGUCAAACGAUAGCGAACAAAUCUGCAUGAAAAGAUGAAAAGGACUUUGAAAAGAGAGUCAAAAGUGCUUGAAAUUGCGGGGAGGGGAGCGGAUGGGGGCCCGGCGAUACACCACAGGUCGGAUCAGGAGCGGCGGUUAGUGGUCCGCCCUUCGGCUCAAGGUGCAGAUCGAUCGAGCUGCAUCGGCGGCGGCUUCCAGACCGGAUCGUUCGUUUCGAGGAUACCAUCGAUCGGUCGAGACAUGGCCGCCAUCGGCGUGCCAGAAUACGUGCGACCUGAACAUCGGCCAGUGGGCUCCCCAUCGACCCGUCUUGAAACACGGACCAAGAAGUCGACAUCGUCGCUGUCAGCAGGUGCGAAACCGGAAGGCACAAAAAAAAGCUAACGGGCAGGAACCCUCUCGAGGGUUGCACCGCCCGGCCGACCCGAUCUUCUGUGAAGGGUUCGAUUUGGAACAUGCAUGCCGGGACCCAAAGAUGGUGAACUAUGCUGGCGAAAGCGAGGAAACUUCUGGUGGAGGCCCGGCGAUCUUGGCGAUUAAAUCGUUAAAUCGACUUGGGUAUAGAGGCGAAAAAGACUAAUCGAACCAUCUAGUAGCUGGUUCCCUCUCGAAGUUUCCCUCGGGAUAAACCCCAGCCCGCGUCGCGAGUUCUAUCGGGUAAAGCCAAUGAUUAGAGGCAUCGGGGCGCCGCGCCCUCGACCCUAUUCUCAAACUUUAAAUAGGUAGGGCCGGCGGGCUGCCCGUUGAAACAGCGUCGCGAAUCGAAACUCCAAGUGGGCCAUUUUGGUAAAAGCAGAACUGGCGUCUUGGGAUGAACGGAAGCCGGGAUCUCGAUUGCCCAACUGCUUGCUAACCGAGACACCACAAAAAGGUGUUGGUGGAAUUAAGACAGCAGGGCGGUGGUCAUGGAAGUGAAAUCCGCUAAGGGUGUGUAACAACUCACCUGCGAAUCAACUAGCCCCGAAAUGGAUGGCGCUGAAGCGCGACCCUCCCGACCAUGGGCGGCGCCAAGCCCGAUGAGUAGGAGGCGGCGCGGUCGCCAUAAAACCAAAGCUUGAGCUUCGGGAAGGCGACCGUCGGUGCAGAUCUUGGUGGUAGUAGCAAAUAUUCAAAUGAGAACUUUGAAGGCUGAAGGGGGAAAGGUUCCAUGUGAGCGGCACUUGCACAUGGGUUGGCGAUCUAAGGGCGGGGAAACCCGUCCGUGUCUCCAUGAGCUCCGAAAGAAUCGGGUUAAAAUUCCCGAGCGGGGCCUUGGCGAGACAAGCGUUAGGAAGUCCGGGAGGCGUCGGCGGGGCUCGGGGAAGAAUUAUCUUUUUUGCUUAACGGCCCGCCCACCUGGAAGCACCUCAGGUAGAAAAAUCGGAGGACGGUCCACGAGCGCCCAUGAAAAUCGGAGGACCGACGUGCGCCAUGCCGGUGUACCUCAUAACCUCAUCGGUCUCAAGGUGAAACAGCCUCUGGCCCAUGGAACAAUGUAGGCAAGGGAAGUGGGAAAAAACAGAUCCGUAACCGGAAAAGGAUUGGCUCUGAGGGCUGGGCACGGGGUCCCGACCCCGAACCGUCUUCUGUCGGACUUCCCUGCUCGAGCUGCCUCUGGGCGGAUGCCAGCGAUGCCGGCCAGAGGGGACCGGAAUAGCCCCCUCGGGGGCCUUCCCGGCGUCGAACAACCAUUCAGAACUGAAAUGCGGACAAAGGGGAAUCCGCCUGUUUAAUUAAAACAAAAGCAUUCGCGAUGGUCCCCAUGGAUGCUCCGCAUAAUGUGAUUUCUGCCCGGUGCUCUGAAUGUCAAAGUGAAGAAAUUCAACCAAGCGGGUAAGCGGCGGAGUAACUAUGACUCUCUUAAGGUAGCCAAAUGCCUGGUCAUCUAAUUAGUGGCGCGCAUGAAUGGAUUAACGAAUUCCCACUGUCCUGUCUACUAUCCAGCGAAACCACAGCCAAGGGAACAGGCUUGGCAGAAUCAGCGAGGGAAAAAGACCCUGUUGAGCUUGACUCUAGUCUGACUUUGUGAAAUGACUUGAGAGGUGUAGGAUAAGUGGGGAAGCCGGUUAAGUGAAACACCACUACUUUUAACGUUAUUUUACUUAUUCCGUGAGUGGGAGGCCGGGGGCCCGGCCCUCCAUUUGGACCCAAGGCCGCCUAGCGGGCCGAUCGGCGGAAGACAUUGUCGGUGGGGAGUUUGGCUGGGGUGGCACAUCUGUUAAAAAGAUAGCGCCGGGUGUCUAAGAUGAACUCAACGAGAACAGAAAUCUAAAUAUUGGAACAAAAGGGUAAAAGCUUCGUUUGAUUCUGAUUUCCAGUGCAAUCUGAACCGUGGCGUGGCCUAUCGAUCCUUUAGACCUUGAAUUUGAAGCUAGAGGUGUCAGAAAAAGUUACCACAGGGAUAACUGGCUUGUGGCAAUGGCGUUCAUAAGCGGCGUUGCUUUUUUGAUCGCCGAUGUGGCUCUUCCUAUCAUUGUGAAGCAAAUUCACCAAGUGUUGGAUUGUUCACCCACAAUAGGGAACGUGAGCUGGGUUUAGACCGUGGUGAGACAGGUUAGUUUUACCCUACUGAUGAUGGGUGUGGCGAUAGUAAUUCAACCUAAUGUCGAGAUGAACCGUUGAUUCACACAAUUGGUCAUUAAGCGGUUGAAAAACCAUUGGCGGCUUCUACCGUGUGUCGGUUAUGACUGAGCGCCUCUAAGUCAGAAUCUAGCUAGCAACCGGCUCUCCCGUCGUUAAGCCUCCGACCCACAGUAGGGCCUUUGGUCCCCAUGGACUCAUAAUAGCCGUUGUAGCCCUCGUGGUGGUAUAGCCCGCAGGCGCCAUCGAGGAAGUGAAAUUC
Molecule: ribosomal RNA, 3088 nt
Filed under: Musa schizocarpa
Lineage: Eukaryota; Viridiplantae; Streptophyta; Magnoliopsida; Zingiberales; Musaceae
Description: eukaryotic LSU rRNA
Rfam family: Eukaryotic large subunit ribosomal RNA
Source: RNAcentral